UGCGGUGGCCAUCCGGUAUCAUAGACAG
This 28-nucleotide small RNA is filed under the name Bombyx mori (domestic silkworm). RNAcentral's name for it is "ovarian small RNA-33991". Lineage: Eukaryota; Metazoa; Arthropoda; Insecta; Lepidoptera; Bombycidae. The record is from RNAcentral.